This 500-nucleotide ribosomal RNA is filed under the name uncultured Leucobacter sp. Its description in RNAcentral is "bacterial SSU rRNA". It matches the Rfam family "Bacterial small subunit ribosomal RNA", at positions 1 to 507 of the family's 1533-position model. The record is from RNAcentral. Lineage: Bacteria; Bacillati; Actinomycetota; Actinomycetes; Micrococcales; Microbacteriaceae.
GUAGUAGUAGUUUCGACGUCGUCGGCACGAGACGACGCUGGCGGCGUGCUUAACACAUGCAAGUCGAACGCUGAAGCUCCCAGCUUGCUGGGGGUGGAUGAGUGGCGAACGGGUGAGUAACACGUGAGUAACCUGCCCCGAACUCUGGGAUAAGCGCUGGAAACGGCGUCUAAUACUGGAUAUGUCCUAUCACCGCAUGGUGUGUAGGUGGAAAGAAUUUCGGUUCGGGAUGGACUCGCGGCCUAUCAGCUAGAUGGUGAGGUAAUGGCUCACCAUGGCGACGACGGGUAGCCGGCCUGAGAGGGUGACCGGCCACACUGGGACUGAGACACGGCCCAGACUCCUACGGGAGGCAGCAGUGGGGAAUAUUGCACAAUGGGCGCAAGCCUGAUGCAGCAACGCCGCGUGAGGGAUGACGGCCUUCGGGUUGUAAACCUCUUUUUAGUAGGGAAGAAGCGCAAGUGACGGUACCUGCAGAAAAAGCACCGGCUAACUACGUG